This 4538-nucleotide long non-coding RNA is filed under the name Salvia miltiorrhiza (redroot sage). Its description in RNAcentral is "long non-coding RNA (SMIL_LNC007318)". Lineage: Eukaryota; Viridiplantae; Streptophyta; Magnoliopsida; Lamiales; Lamiaceae. The record is from RNAcentral.
GGCAGCUGAAUGAUCAAGACCAGGGAUGGACGAAUGAGCAGCUUCUCAGAUCUCAACAGAACCGCCAACAGCAGGAGCCAAGUUCAGAACUCCGGCGGCUCAGAUCUACUCAGGUAACCACCAAACAGGGCUCCGAUGAACAGGAAAUCCCGGUGAUACCACCACCCACGCAGGGAAUCCCGUAUUAUUAAGGAAUCAACCACACAAGGAAUAGCAGAGCCUUUCUGUCCAUAAUAAUACGUUAUCCCAACAUGAGAGAGCAUCAGGGAUUUAAGGGGAGUAACAGCAACGGUAGGGAGGGGCGCCAUUAAAGGUGGUGAAGUAACCAAGGCAGGAGGGCGGUGGGAGAGUGGGAAAAACGAAGAGUCAGAGAGAGAGAGGAGAGGAUUAGGGUUAGUGGAGCGGCGCUGAGUGAAGUGAGAGUGAGAGAGAGGCGGGGUGGGGUAUAUCCAAAGAGAAAGUGGGCUAGGGUUUGGGAAUGGGCUGGGAUAAGUGGGUGGGCUUGGUUCUGGGCCCUGAAGUUGGUCCAGACCCAAAAAGAAAAAGAAAAUGCGUAAGGGAAUGAGAAAUGGGCCAACCUCACAUAUCCACCUUUGGCACAUUGAUCAUUCUGUCACCAGGAAGGGCUAGCCAUUGAGUUGGAGUUAUCAUCACAGCCCCAAUUUUUACUCUCAUCUGCCACAAAGUCAAGACAAGAGAGGGUGAGAAAAAUAUUAAGCAUAUUUAACUCAAUCUCAAACCACAGAGAUCAACCCAAGGGAAAUCACCAAUUCUCAAACCAAAAAAGGUUAUCAUUGAAGACUCAACAGACUCAGCAGAGCACACACACAACACACACAUUCAGGAAAGAAAAAGACACAGGACAAGACACAAGACAACAGAACAAAGCAGGGCUCACAACAUACCAGACACACAGAGCAAAAAGAAAAACAUGCAGAGCACACAAACACAGGACAGAGCAGAGCAACAGACUCAACACAUGCAGCAAACAAGAAGACAACAAAAGGAAAGAACAGAAACAAGCAGCCACAAAGGUUGAACUUGUCACACAAGCACAGAGAGAUCAUCCAGACCAAUGUUCAAGGUCCUUUUGCAAGAUUCCAGCUUUGCAACUGGUAGGCACUUAGUACCCAUAUCUGCAGGAUUGAACUCAGAGGGAAUUUUGUUCAGAAUGACAUCUCCCCUUUCUACAACAUCUCUGAUAAAAUGAUACUUGACAUCAAUGUGUUUAGUUCUAUCAUGGAAGACAGGAUUUUUGCAUAAUUGUUUAGCAGACUGACUAUCAGAGAAAAGCACAGGUUUAUCAUCAACAAAAUUAAUCUCAGAGAGCACACCAUUUAACCACAUUGCUUCUUUCACAGCUUCAGUAGCAGCUAUAUACUCAGAUUUAGUAGUAGAUAAGGCCACAAUGCCUUGUAACUGAGACUUCCAACUAAUGCAAGCAUCACACAAAGUAAACACAUAAGAAGUGGAGGACUUCCUACUAUCCCUGUCAUUAGCAUAAUUGGAAUCCACAUAACCACACAUUUCACACCAUUUUUAGACUUGGAGAAAAGCAGACCAUGUUUCAUAGUGGAUUUCNNNNNNNNNNNNNNNNNNNNNNNNNNNNNNNNNNNNNNNNNNNNNNNNNNNNNNNNNNNNNNNNNNNNNNNNNNNNNNNNNNNNNNNNNNNNAGUACAUAACAGAGCCUAUAGCAUUAGCAUAUGGGAUGUUUCUCAUUUAUUCAAGAUCAGUGUCAGAGGUGGGACAUUGCUUCUUACUAAGCUCAAAAUGGGAUCCAAGAGGUACACUGACAGGAUUACAAUCAAACAUGUUGAACUUAUGCAAGACUUGAUUCACAUACUCAGAUUGAUGCAGCAAAAGGGUGCAAUUCUCCCUAUCUCUUUCUAUGCUCAUGCCUAGGAUUUUCUUGGCAUCCCCUAAAUCUUUCAUGUCAAACAUAUCACAAAGGCAUUUUUGAACAUGCUGUAUAGUUUUUAAACAGGGACCAAGAAUAAGCAUAUCAUCAACAUACAAAAGCAAGAACACAGGAGACUUACCACCCAAGUGAUACAAGCAAUGAUCAAAACUGCUCCUAACAAAGUUCAAGCUUUUCAUGCAUUGAUCAAAUUUCAAGUUCCAUUGCCUAGGGGACUGUUUUAGACCAUAUAAAGUACUUUUUGAGAAGCCACACAUGAUCAGGAAAGUUCUUGUCAACAAAACCCUCAGGCUGCUUCAUAUAGAUAUCAUUUUCAAGUUCUCCAUGCAAGAAAGCAGUGGUGAUAUCCAUUUGUUUUAAUUCCCAGUUGAAAUGAGCACAGAGAGCAAGAAUGAUGCGCACAGUUGUAAAUUUCACAACAGGAGCAAAUAUUUCAUUGUAAUCAAUGCCUUCUUUUUGAGUGAAACCUUUAGCAACAAGUCUAGCCUUAUAUCUGACAUUUUCCACCUCAUUUUUAAUCUUAAACAACCAUUUGCAUUCAACAAUAGAACAGUCAGCAGGUUUAGGGACCAAAAUCCAUGUAUUGUUGUUAUGCAGAGAGUUCAUUUCAGAUUUCAUAGCAGUCGGCCACUUAGCAGAUUCAUCAGAGUUAACAGCCUCAGAAUAGGAGCAAGGUUCAACAUGAUCCACAUUAUUAAACACAUUAAAAGCAUACAUAGACAUGUUGUAAUCAUCAAACCUAGCAGGCUGCCUAACAUGCCUUCUCUAUCUAUCCCUUGAAAGUUGAUAAUCAUUCAAAUUAUUAUUCACAGGCACAUCAUUUUGAGCAGGUUCUUGCACAUCAUGUUCAUUUACAAUAGGUUCUGGAAUCAAUGGUUCAAGGGGAGGGGUAGGUUCAGGGUCUGGAUGGGGUUCCACCUCAAAAGGAAUCACAGGUGUAAACAUGAAUUCAUAUCUGGCAGAAUCAUAAGCAUUCAAGUUCUCCACCUCACUUGGAGUAGCAGAUUGUGAGGAUUUCAGCAAACAUGGGAAACUCAAUUCAUUGAAAGACACAUCUCUACUAAUGCAAGUUUUAAACCCGGGUACAGACUUAUCCCACAAAUCUUUUUGCACAAGCAUGGUGUGACACCUUUCUGACCACAGAGCUACACAAGUUUAACAAAAUAGUGGCCCUAGCACUAUAAUUCAUUUCAUGCUGCCUAGCAUCAGUGACUGACUCAUCAAUCUUAGUGGUUAUAGCCCUUUUUACCUUUUCUUUUACCAGAAUGCACUCAAUUUUGAUUUUCCAAUCCUGGAAAUCAUCCCUGCCAUUAAAUGGCACAACAUGCAUGUUGUUCAUGAUGAAUGCAGAUGAAACAAGCAGACCAACACAAAUUCAAGAGCACAGCAGGCAACAAAAAAACACAGAGUAGAGGGCAGGUCAAAAAGACCCUGUGGAAGCUACUUAGGGUUAAAGAGCAGUGGAGAGCCCAGAUCUCAGCACAGAUUGAUCUGUGGAGCAAGGGUCACACUGGUCACCCUAGAGGUCCUAGCUGACUUAUCUAAGUCAGCACAACUCACUAUCAACAAGAGUUAUCACAGAAAACAAACAGAACUUCACAGAUCAACAGAAACACACGAUUUGAACACACAAAUCACACAGCCAAUCUUGACAGACCCUUCCCUUAAAGCUAUUCAGGAUACUCGCACGAGGAGACUCCUUUAAAGGAGAAUCCAGACGAACUGGACCGUAGCAGUAAGGUCCGGACUUGGUUUGGAAUACCAAGGGUCAGCCGGAUUAAGCAAAGCGGAAGCACACAGAUCACAGGAACGCAAGAUACCAAAAAAAAAAAAGAGAAAAGCAGCACCUUGAACCAAACCUAGAUCUAGGAGCUAGGGUUUUAGCCAAUUUACCAGAGCCAAACUCUUCCAGGGGGAAGAGCUGGACUUACCCUACUCCUUGCUCGUCGGGAGCGAAUCGGCGCAGCCAAGGGGCGGCGGGGUGGGUAAGUUGUGUUCGGAGGGUGCCCUGGCUAGGUCACUGUGGCUCUGAUACCACUGUUGGGUAUCUACGCCUAGCCAGGGUUCACCACUUGGUUCCCGAACCUCCUGUCUUUCCCACUUUGUGCUCAAGCACUUGAGACUUCGUCUUCUUCUUCUUCUUCUGAUCUUCGACUUCUUUGCUCAACAUCUCUGCAACUCCUUUCUAUCUACAGAUCUUCAGAUCUUCACUUCCUCUUCUUCCUCGCUCGAGAGCCUCACUAUCUGCACCAGAUCCAUUUCUCUGCAACACACAAAGAAAGGCAGCAAGUAAAAGAGAAACAAGGGAAAGUCAGAGAAGGGGAAAAGGUGUCCUCGGGACACGGUGGGGCUCAGAUUUUCCCCAGAACUCGGCAACCCUUCCGGCAGCAAUUCGAUCAAGGCCAAAGUGACGGAUAUGGAGCAGCUUCUCAGAUCUCAGUAGAGCCACCAACAGCAGGAGCCAAGUACAGAACUCCGGUGACUCAGAUCUACUCAGGUAACCACCAAACAGGGCUCCGGUGGUCAGGAAAGCCCGGUGAUACCUCCACUCACACAGGGAAUCCCGUACUAUCAAAGAAACAACAACACUUGAAAGGAAUAGCAGAGCCUUUCUCACUUU